UUGAAAGGGAAACGAUUGAAGUCAGUCAUGCCUAUGGGAAUCAACUUAGGGGAAACUCUGGGUGCACUUCUUCGUUUGGCAGGUUAGUGUUGAUUUUGGGUGUCAUAAAAUAAUUGGGGGAAGGUAGCUCUUUCGGGAGUGUUAUAGCCCCUGGUAGAUGUGAUAUCUAGGAUCGAGGAUUGCAACGGAUACCUUCGGGGCUAACAGCCUAAUCUCUAAUUGGUGUUGAGUUACGGACAGCAUGCUGACCAUGAUCUAAUUACUGGUUAAAAGGUUAGAGCGUGUAUAAAUCGUUAAGGAUGUUGACGUA
RNAcentral lists this ribosomal RNA (310 nucleotides) under uncultured Glomeromycotina. Its description in RNAcentral is "LSU rRNA". Lineage: Eukaryota; Fungi; Glomeromycota. The record is from RNAcentral.